Long non-coding RNA from Echinops telfairi (small Madagascar hedgehog), 2426 nucleotides. RefSeq lists it as uncharacterized. The transcript is spliced from 3 exons. The record is from RefSeq and is a predicted model, not a curated record. Lineage: Eukaryota; Metazoa; Chordata; Mammalia; Afrosoricida; Tenrecidae.
UGGGAUGGUUUUCUGUAGAUACUGCAUGGAUUUUGAGAUCAUGAUCCCCUCUAUACGUGAAAGUAUUAUUUGGGAGAUAAUAUUCUCAUUAACUGACAGAGGAAAACAUUUACAAUGAAUUGUGUUUCUCAUAUUUCUGUGUUUUUCUCCAGUUUCUGUUGAACCAUCUCUUUCCACCAACUUUCUUAUUGAUUAACAUUGCUGGUCAGUGUUCUAGGAAAAACCUUUUGCUUCUAGUGUCUAGAAUCUGAACUCUAAAUACUUGGAAUCACUACAGAUUUCUCUCUACAUUUACCGCAUACAUUGUAAAUGGGAUGUUUCUGAAGCAUCUAUAAAUGGUGAGAUUAAUGGGAAGUGGUGAGAGGAAGAGAAUUCCAAGAUUUUGGAGGCACUCCAGUUUGCUUUAUGGAUAGAGUCUUUCUACACUAAUGAUAAGAGCAGUAGGGGAUCAGUUAAGAAAAUGGUUGGGUAAAAUACUGCAAGAAAAACUGCGUGUGGAGGAAAUAACUGCUCGAAGAAUACAAAGCAGCAUGCAAACAUUCUAUGAGACUGAAUGCAUCAGUAGAUUUGGAGUGCACGUUAGGACAGCACAGGACUGAAAACGAGGCUUGCAGAUAGCCUCUGAGGCCAACGGUCCACUUCAUCUUAAUUUAAAAAUGCAUCUGAAACCCUACCAAGACCCAGAUUACUUAAAAACAAUAACACACGUGAUCUCAUAUGGUCAUGUAGUGAUCAUGCAAGGUAAAGUACUGCUUUCAAUUCUAUUAUGAGAUACUAGUUUUCCUAAAUGGAAUUUCCUCUACAAUAAACUGAACAUUGGAAAGCAUGUUCUAUAGGCGAAGUAAAUCUAUGCUAACCUCCCUGCCCUAAUGAGGAUGGAUGAGAGGGAAAUGCCUGCACAUCUGAUGGCUUUACUACGGGCCCAUCUGUGGCCUUCACCUUUCUGAGCCUCAGUUUAGCUCUCUACCAAAUGAAACUGUUGAACUAAAUUAUAGUCUCAAGAUAUCAAAUUUCAGAAUCCAGUGAUCAAAGGGGAAUGACCAAAACAUUUAAAAUCGAGUGUGGUGAAGUUGGAACACCGCAGACUCCUCUCAAAUCUGUCAAGUUUGAUUUGAACAUUUCCGUACUUUAUUUGAAAUAUUCUUAGUCUUGUGAUGUAAGGAUGUCAUUUGUGUCUCCUGUGGUUUUUUCUUUAAAAUGCACUAUGUCCAGUAUGUUUAUCAUUGAGAAAUUACACUGUCAUAUUGUUGCUUGUGUUUCUAUUAACUGUGUUUUUAAAUUUUUCCCCCUCAAGGACUGAUUGCUGGUACUAUAAUUGGUACCCUAGUUCUAGUCAAAAUUAUCUGGGACUGUGGAAAAUCAGGCUCUUAUAACACACAUGCGAACAACAAAGCCCCAAUGUUGUCUUUCACCAAUUGACUGGUGGAGCCUCCACAGUAAGGACUUGGGGAAACACAAGUGUAGCGUUGAUACUUGUGCUUAUGACGCUAGUUAACAUGGGCUAGCCGAGAGCCAAAGAAGAGCUGGGAAGAAGAAGGUGCACACAAGUACACAGACGAUUUCUAGUUUCUUUAUGAAGUUAUGGAUGAGAUGACACAAUAUUGAAAUGUGCUCUUUGUUUUGCAUGGUCUCAUUGUCUUUAAGCCUCAUGAAUGUCUGUGAAGCCAGGGGGAAGUUUAUCCUGAAAUCACACUCUGAGUAUGUCAGAACCUCUUGAGAACAGAAGCGGUGGUUGAAGAGCUGUUGCUCUCCUCACUGUGGAGGGAGGGGCAGAGCCCGGCUCCUGGUUAGAAUAUAAUUAUGGGGAAGGGAAAUUCGUGGGAUUUUCAUUUGCGCUAGAUGAGUAGUUAUUUUUACUUAAAAAGAGAAAUCAAAAAGGAAAAACAUUAGUUGGAUCAUUUAAAACACACACACACCAGGAAUUGGAUACCAAUGAUUAACAAACAAACAUGAAUUGGAUACUAAAAACAAACCAAAAAAUUGAAACAGUCUCUUCUAAGCAAAUUUGCCGAAGACCCUGAAAUCCAUUAUAAAUCUUGAGUGUAAAGCACUUCCAUCUUUCCUUAUUCUUUUAAACAAGUCCAAAUGAGUUGGCAAAAUAUUUUAAAGAAAAUGCAUGCUAAUAACCCAAGAGUAUUGAGUUUCUUGGGGUAGUUGUUGGCAAGGGAGGAGCAUAGAUAAGAUUGUUUCUUCCUUUGUUACACAAAUACAGAUAAGGAACUCAGAAGAAGCCUAUUAGCUGUAAGAUGCUGUGCAAGUUUGCCCUUAGAACAAAGCAGUCUUCUUUGGCUUUAUGUAUUUUUUAUGUCUUUAAAAGUACCCAGAGAUUAUAUUAACAUAAGAAAAUAAUCUAUAUUUGCAAAGUGAGAUGUUCAUAGCAAAAUUGUAAAUCAUACUCUUUUGUAAUAUUAACAUUAAUUUAUUUA